UGUGACGGAGGCGCCCACGUGCUCGGCCCGCCCGUGUUACGGCCGCCUACCGGCUGCAGAGGAGAAGGGAGGAAAGGGUGGAAUCUCAACACAAGUGGUAGGCAACUUUGAAAACAAUAAAUAGAUGAAGAAUGGAGAGACCUCAAAAGGAGAGUCUGGGAACCCUAGCCAAAGGCUAUAAUGUGGUAAAAUCGUGGGGACUUAAUUCCAUCAUAUGGAGGUUACUGAAUGUAUCAGAGACAGCCUGCAGUUCAUCACCACACAAAUUAGGAGCAACGUAAGAAGAGAAAAAGAAAAAGGAAUUACAGAUUAAAAAAUGCAAGAGAAUAUAAACAAAUAAAAAUAUGUUCAACUGGAAUUUGUAUUGGGAUUGUAUUAAAUGGAUGAACUAAUUUGUGAAGAAAUGAUAUCAUUCCAUCCAAGA
RNAcentral lists this long non-coding RNA (424 nucleotides) under Homo sapiens (human). RNAcentral describes it as "HSALNT0369508". The record is from RNAcentral. Lineage: Eukaryota; Metazoa; Chordata; Mammalia; Primates; Hominidae.